CCGGUUCACUUUAACACUGAGGCGUGACGACGAGGCACUACGGUGCUGAAGCAACAAAUGCCCUGCUUCCAGGAAAAGCCUCUAAGCAUCAGGUAACAUCAAAUCGUACCCCAAACCGACACAGGUGGUCAGGUAGAGAAUACCAAGGCGCUUGAGAGAACUCGGGUGAAGGAACUAGGCAAAAUGGUGCCGUAACUUCGGGAGAAGGCACGCUGACACGUAGGUGAAGUGAUUUACUCAUGGAGCUGAAGUCAGUCGAAGAUACCAGCUGGCUGCAACUGUUUAUUAAAAACACAGCACUGUGCAAACACGAAAGUGGACGUAUACGGUGUGACGCCUGCCCGGUGCCGGAAGGUUAAUUGAUGGGGUCAGCGCAAGCGAAGCUCCUGAUCGAAGCCCCGGUAAACGGCGGCCGUAACUAUAACGGUCCUAAGGUAGCGAAAUUCCUUGUCGGGUAAGUUCCGACCUGCACGAAUGGCGUAAUGAUGGCCAGGCUGUCUCCACCCGAGACUCAGUGAAAUUGAACUCGCUGUGAAGAUGCAGUGUACCCGCGGCAAGACGGAAAGACCCCGUGAACCUUUACUAUAGCUUGACACUGAACAUUGAGCCUUGAUGUGUAGGAUAGGUGGGAGGCUUUGAAGUGUGGACGCCAGUCUGCAUGGAGCCGACCUUGAAAUACCACCCUUUAAUGUUUGAUGUUCUAACGUGGACCCGUGAUCCGGGUUGCGGACAGUGUCUGGUGGGUAGUUUGACUGGGGCGGUCUCCUCCUAAAGAGUAACGGAGGAGCACGAAGGUUGGCUAAUCCUGGUCGGACAUCAGGAGGUUAGUGCAAUGGCAUAAGCCAGCUUGACUGCGAGCGUGACGGCGCGAGCAGGUGCGAAAGCAGGUCAUAGUGAUCCGGUGGUUCUGAAUGGAAGGGCCAUCGCUCAACGGAUAAAAGGUACUCCGGGGAUAACAGGCUGAUACCGCCCAAGAGUUCAUAUCGACGGCGGUGUUUGGCACCUCGAUGUCGGCUCAUCACAUCCUGGGGCUGAAGUAGGUCCCAAGGGUAUGGCUGUUCGCCAUUUAAAGUGGUACGCGAGCUGGGUUUAGAACGUCGUGAGACAGUUCGGUCCCUAUCUGCCGUGGGCGCUGGAGAACUGAGGGGGGCUGCUCCUAGUACGAGAGGACCGGAGUGGACGCAUCACUGGUGUUCGGGUUGUCAUGCCAAUGGCACUGCCCGGUAGCUAAAUGCGGAAGAGAUAAGUGCUGAAAGCAUCUAAGCACGAAACUUGCCCCGAGAUGAGUUCUCCCUGAGACUUUAAGUCUCCUGAAGGAACGUUGAAGACGACGACGUUGAUAGGCCGGGUGUGUAAGCGCAGCGAUGCGUUGAGCUAACCGGUACUAAUGAACCGUGAGGCUUAACCUUACA
RNAcentral lists this ribosomal RNA (1412 nucleotides) under Salmonella enterica. RNAcentral describes it as "partial 23S ribosomal RNA". It matches the Rfam family "Bacterial large subunit ribosomal RNA", at positions 1542 to 2925 of the family's 2925-position model. The record is from RNAcentral. Lineage: Bacteria; Pseudomonadati; Pseudomonadota; Gammaproteobacteria; Enterobacterales; Enterobacteriaceae.